Bombina bombina (fire-bellied toad) is the source of this 1354-nucleotide long non-coding RNA. RefSeq lists it as uncharacterized. Lineage: Eukaryota; Metazoa; Chordata; Amphibia; Anura; Bombinatoridae. The transcript is spliced from 2 exons. The record is from RefSeq and is a predicted model, not a curated record.
GUAAAGCAUUAGCAUUCGAGAGGAUUUCUGAGUGUGCACUAAACCACUAUGCACAGUGUGAGACAGACUUGGCACUUAAGUUUGUACAGUGUGUGCCUGAGUCAGACGGCAGAUCACUUUCAUUUGCAGAGGAGAACCUCCUGUCAUGAGGAUACAAACAUCCAUGCCACCACCACCACCAGUCUUCAGGCAACCACAAGGACAGUAUGCUACCAGGCAUGAGCAUGGUUGGAUGGCUUCAGUUGAGGAUCCGGGAGUGAUGCCACCACCAUUGCCAUAUGACCCCUGGCAAGAUUCCUGGUCAGAGGAAUAUCCUCUCUUUGGCUUUGAGGGGGAGCCAAGACAGCCACAAAGAGUCCAUGUAUUUACCCCCCCCCACACACACACACACACAACACAAUCUCAUGGUAGUCAGGGAUUUUACCCACAGACAAUGUCACAGGAAGUGCCAAUUGGACAGGCUGAGUUGUCACACACUGGUCAUCAGUGGGACUAUCAACCAACCAUGAGAGCUCCACCAUCCUUAUCAAUUGGACGAGCUCCACCAUCCUCAUCAAUUAGACGAGCUCCACCAUCCUCAUCAAUUGGACAAGCUCCAUCACCCUCAUCAAUUGGACAAGCUCCACCAUCCUCAUCAAUUGGACAAGCUCCACCAUCUGCAGAUAGAAAUAUCUACAGCUGCACCUCAAGCACCAUCAGAUGUAGCUACCCCUGCCCCACAUGAACCAACAGUUGUAGCUGACCCUGCCCCACAUGAACCAGCAGUUGUAGCUGCCCCUGCCCCACAUGAACCAUCAGAUGUAGCUGACCCUGCACCUCAAGCACCAGCAGAUGCAGGUGAACCUGCCCCACAAGCACCUAAAAGCCCUGCUGCUCAAGAGCCUGUGGAUGCAUUGUAUUCUCCCCUGGGUGAGGAAUACAUUGCACUCCAGAGGAGGCUCAUAACAAGCACCAAGAGCAUACAAAGAGUCCAAGAGAGGUUCUUCAGGAACCAUAAAAGGUUCAUCAGGAGCCAAGAGAGGAUAUAACAAUGUAGCAUAAAGCUACAGAGGGACAUGGCAGCAUCGUUAAGUGCAAGUGUUCAGAACCAGUCACAGAUGAUGCAAAUUCUGUCUGAUAUGCAGAUGCAAAUGCACAAUAGAUGGAGAGAACAAAAUCAACUCUUGGGUGUGUUGGUUGAGCACUUUAGACACCAUCAGGACACUGCCUCCAGCCUAUCAUCUGUGGCCAGCACACCAGCAGAAACACCAGAAUCUUCUCAAACCAGGAGAACAAGGAAAUCCACUACAGUCACCUCAGCUCCCUCAUCCAAGAAGCCAAAUAAUAAAUAAAUAUUCAAAUAGUUCACCAUAAA